This 74-nucleotide transfer RNA is filed under the name Hyphomicrobium sp. RNAcentral describes it as "tRNA-Ser". The record is from RNAcentral. Lineage: Bacteria; Pseudomonadati; Pseudomonadota; Alphaproteobacteria; Hyphomicrobiales; Hyphomicrobiaceae.
GUUGCAUUAUGAUUUUGAUGAGCACGUCAUUCGUAAUGACGGGGUCAGGUGUUCGAGUCACCUAAGCGGCACCA